Molecule: non-coding RNA, 462 nt
Organism: Pimephales promelas (fathead minnow)
Lineage: Eukaryota; Metazoa; Chordata; Actinopteri; Cypriniformes; Leuciscidae
Source: RefSeq, a predicted model, not a curated record
AACAUUAAGAAACAUGAGAUGCUGUUGUCUGCUGCCUCAUUAAAGACAAGACUACCUUGGUGAAAAUCAAGAAGAUCUUUUCCAUUACUACCAGGAAUGUGAGGACUACACAGACAAAAACAUGAAGGUGAUUGUGAAGCACAAUGUCAUGGCUGAGGAGGAUCCAGAUUUGUCUAUUGUGAUCGAGGGAAACCAAGUAAUGGAAUCACAGAGUUUAGAUGCAACAAAAUGUGAUUGGACUUCUUCCAGUACUGCUCUGAUCUCCUCGCUUCUAGUUUCAUUUUCUACUCUCUCCUCCUCCUAAAACAGCAAUGUUUUAUUAUCCAACAUUAUUGAAACAACAUUUGAUAGUCCAGUGAGUUAACAUGUUCAUUACUUGAAAUGUUGUGUAAAGUUAUUGUGCUGCACUGUAUUUUGAGUGUUUCAUAUGAAUUUUUGGAUUAAAAACAUUGAUCUGAUGAA